RNAcentral lists this ribosomal RNA (525 nucleotides) under uncultured bacterium. Its description in RNAcentral is "bacterial SSU rRNA". It matches the Rfam family "Bacterial small subunit ribosomal RNA", at positions 401 to 917 of the family's 1533-position model. The record is from RNAcentral.
GUGUGUGAAGAAGGCCUUUUGGUUGUAAAGCACUUUAAGCGAGGAGGAGGCUACCUAGAUUAAUACUCUGGGAUAGUGGACGUUACUCGCAAAAUAAGCACCGGCUAACUCUGUGCCAGCAGCCGCGGUAAUACAGAGGGUGCGAGCGUUAAUCGGAUUUACUGGGCGUAAAGCGUGCGUAGGCGGCUGAUUAAGUCGGAUGUGAAAUCCCUGAGCUUAACUUAGGAAUUGCAUUCGAUACUGGUCAGCUAGAGUAUGGGAGAGGAUGGUAGAAUUCCAGGUGUAGCGGUGAAAUGCGUAGAGAUCUGGAGGAAUACCGAUGGCGAAGGCAGCCAUCUGGCCUAAUACUGACGCUGAGGUACGAAAGCAUGGGGAGCAAACAGGAUUAGAUACCCUGGUAGUCCAUGCCGUAAACGAUGUCUACUAGCCGUUGGGGUCUUUGAGGCUUUAGUGGCGCAGCUAACGCGAUAAGUAGACCGCCUGGGGAGUACGGUCGCAAGACUAAAACUCAAAUGAAUUGACGGA